UUAUUGCUAACAAAGGAGAGAAGGUUAGCACUCCCCUUGACAAGGAUGGAAGAGGCUCUCGGGCUUGACAACACACAUACGGUUAAGGCAUUGCCACCUACUUCGUGGCAUCUGACCGCUGUUUUCG
RNAcentral lists this non-coding RNA (127 nucleotides) under Moschus moschiferus (Siberian musk deer). Lineage: Eukaryota; Metazoa; Chordata; Mammalia; Artiodactyla; Moschidae. The record is from RNAcentral.